GGGAGUGAAAGACAUGGAAGUGCACACGUUAGAUAACUCUGUGCAGUUACACUUUUACACUUUUGGCCCCCAAUCAAGCAAGGCUACCCGCUGAACUUAAGCAUAUCAAUAAGCGGAGGAAAAGAAACCAACAGGGAUUGCCCUAGUAACGGCGAGUGAACAGGCAAGAGCUCAGAUUUGAAAGCCUCUCGGGGCAUUGUAUUCUGAAGCCUUGAUUCUGAGAAACGGUACCUAAGUCUUCUGGAAAGGAGCGCCAAGGAGGGUGAUAGCCCCGUACGGUACUGACCUCAUUGUAGAAUCUUGGCGUGGAGUCGAGUUGUUUGGGAAUGCAGCUCAAAUGGGUGGUAUGCUCCAUCUAAAGCUAAAUAUCUGCGAGAGACCGAUAGCGAACAAGUACUGUGAAGGAAAGAUGAAAAGAACUUUGAAAAGAGAGUGAAAAAGUACGUGAAAUUGUUGAAAUGGAAGGAUAGGCCGCUAACCACGUAGAGCCGUGUCUGAGGGGAGGAUAAAAGCUGUAGAAUGUGACUCCUCGGAGUGUUAUAGCUACAGUGCAUACUCCCACUCGGGCGCGAG
RNAcentral lists this ribosomal RNA (573 nucleotides) under Starmerella bombicola. Its description in RNAcentral is "eukaryotic LSU rRNA". The stretch from base 64 to 573 matches the Rfam family "Eukaryotic large subunit ribosomal RNA", at positions 1 to 533 of the family's 3401-position model. Lineage: Eukaryota; Fungi; Ascomycota; Dipodascomycetes; Dipodascales; Trichomonascaceae. The record is from RNAcentral.